This 90-nucleotide transfer RNA is filed under the name uncultured Actinomycetes bacterium. RNAcentral's name for it is "uncultured actinobacterium tRNA-His". Lineage: Bacteria; Bacillati; Actinomycetota; Actinomycetes. The record is from RNAcentral. RNAcentral also lists the same sequence under 1 other name.
CAGAGCGUAUGAAGUCAGUUAACGGGCUUGUGUUGAUCGACGUUAGAAACGUAAAUGAAGUUGCGCUUGGUUCGAUCCCAGGCGCCCUGA